RNAcentral lists this ribosomal RNA (433 nucleotides) under uncultured bacterium. Its description in RNAcentral is "partial 16S ribosomal RNA". It matches the Rfam family "Bacterial small subunit ribosomal RNA", at positions 29 to 507 of the family's 1533-position model. The record is from RNAcentral.
AACGAACGCUGGCGGCAGGCCUAACACAUGCCAGUCGAGCGGACCUUUCGGGGUCAGCGGCGGACGGGUGAGUAACGCGUGGGAAUAUGCCCUUCUCUACGGAAUAGUCCUGGGAAACUGGGGGUAAUACCGUAUACGCCCUUUGGGGGAAAGAUUUAUCGGGGAAGGAUUAGCCCGCGUUGGAUUAGGUAGUUGGUGGGGUAAUGGCCUACCAAGCCGACGAUCCAUAGCUGGUUUGAGAGGAUGAUCAGCCACACUGGGACUGAGACACGGCCCAGACUCCUACGGGAGGCAGCAGUGGGGAAUCUUAGACAAUGGGGGCAACCCUGAUCGAGCCAUGCCGCGUGAGUGAUGAAGGCCUCAGGGUUGUAAAGCUCUUUCAGCUGGGAAGAUAAUGACGGUACCAGCAGAAGAAGCCCCGGCUAACUCCGUG